This 595-nucleotide long non-coding RNA is filed under the name Pongo abelii (Sumatran orangutan). Its description in RNAcentral is "lincRNA". The record is from RNAcentral. Lineage: Eukaryota; Metazoa; Chordata; Mammalia; Primates; Hominidae.
CCAUGAUGGCUCCGUCUCAUUCUGUCACAGAUCGUCUUUAUAAGCCAGACAUGUCAGUGCUAUAAACUGAUGAGACACCGACAGAAUUUAACAGAAAUCGAAGGUGUGGAAAGGAUCUCAGACAAGCGAAUCCAUCACUGUUACUGUACAGAUAAGAAAUGGAGGCCAAAUAGGAUUAGCAACUUGCUCAGGACUCCACAGCAAAAGCAGCAAUUGGAUGUCACAGAAUGAGUUCUGAGGUUUACAUCAGAAGAUGGCCCUGAACCGGAGCCAAAGCUGGCCGGGGAGCUUGGGGAAGAUUCUGAGCCUCACACUUUUAUUUGUGAAGUGAGAUGCUGACUCUAUUGUUGGUUUUGUUUGGGGGUUUGAUGCUCAAAUAAAGCAAUACACACGAGGGAAUUUACUGACAUUGUUUAAAAAACAAAGUUAGUGUAUGAUGAAGCAGCGGAGUGAUUCACGAAUGGCAUUAUAAAUAUUUUAAAAACACAAAAGGAAUUAAAAGAGUAUAUACUUGGAUGUUAAUGAAAAUAAAAUUUCAUUGAGAAUAAGAAUCUUGGUAAACAUCAGUUGAUAUUAAAACUUUAUUGCUUUUAAA